RNAcentral lists this ribosomal RNA (433 nucleotides) under uncultured bacterium. Its description in RNAcentral is "partial 16S ribosomal RNA". It matches the Rfam family "Bacterial small subunit ribosomal RNA", at positions 29 to 507 of the family's 1533-position model. The record is from RNAcentral.
AACGAACGCUGGCGGCAUGCCUAACACAUGCAAGUCGUACGAGACCUUCGGGUCUAGUGGCGCACGGGUGCGUAACGCGUGGGAACCUGCCCUUAGGUUCGGAAUAACUCCCCGAAAGGGGUGCUAAUACCGGAUAAUGUCUUCGGACCAAAGAUUUAUCGCCUUUGGAUGGGCCCGCGUUGGAUUAGCUAGUUGGUAGGGUAAAAGCCUACCAAGGCGACGAUCCAUAGCUGGUCUGAGAGGAUGAUCAGCCACACUGGGACUGAGACACGGCCCAGACUCCUACGGGAGGCAGCAGUGGGGAAUAAUGGACAAUGGGCGAAAGCCUGAUCCAGCAAUGCCGCGUGAGUGAUGAAGGCCUUAGGGUUGUAAAGCUCUUUUACCCGGGAUGAUAAUGACAGUACCGGGAGAAUAAGCUCCGGCUAACUCCGUG